This 2518-nucleotide unclassified non-coding RNA is filed under the name uncultured fungus. Its description in RNAcentral is "sequence contains 18S rRNA gene, ITS1, 5.8S rRNA gene, ITS2, 28S rRNA gene". The stretch from base 1384 to 2518 matches the Rfam family "Eukaryotic large subunit ribosomal RNA", at positions 1 to 961 of the family's 3401-position model. Lineage: Eukaryota; Fungi. The record is from RNAcentral.
GGAGGGAUCAUUAACAACAAAGUGUCCCUUACUGUCUUGUGCUUAGACUCAGCUCGUGUUGUCUAGGCACAAGCAGUAAAUUCCCGACCCACUAGCGACAGAGCUAAUUGACUAAGAGCUGCCAGGUUGGACUUGACAGUGGUCAUCUUAGUAGUUACUCUGUCACUAGAGGGAGUUAAAGUGAAUUGUUCAAGUUAAGCGGAACACAGGUGUCACAGUCACCAGUAUGAACCUAUCUACACAGUCUCCUUGGCAAGCAAGUGGCUGUGUAGCUAGCUAGUACUAGUGAUUGUAGUAGAAUACAUUGUGUAUUAUACAAGUGCCCUACGACACUGCACAGUCUCCUUGGCAAGCAAGUGGUUGUGUAGCUAGUAGAACAUGAGUAUAGUACACCAUGUACCUGCUACCUGCCUAAGCAGUCUCCUUGGCAAGCAAGUGGUUGUUCAGGUAGUUGACACAGGUGGAUGGAAUAAAAAAUACACCAAGUGUCUCUGCUGCUACUAUAUACUGCUUACUCGUAUCUACAUAGUCUCCUUGGCAAGCAAGUGGUUAUGUAGGUACUAGUACCAGUAGCUAGUAGUAUGCAGUAGCCACUUGAUUGUAUAGUUGUACAUAAUGCCUUCUUUGUAUUGAACACAUUGACCAAAGUGCUCGUGCUCCCCUACGACACUACACAGCCUCCUUGGCAAGCAAGUGGUUAUGUAGCUAGUAGUAGUACUAGCCUCCUUUGACUCAAUGGACUAAAAUACAACCUUUGCAUAACUGAUAGAGAUGGAUAUCUUGGCUCAGAUCACGAUGAAGAGCGUAGCAAGCCACGUUAACUAACGAGACAUGCAAAAUACGUGAUUCGUCAAAUUCUUGAAUGCAUACUGCACCUGCAGGCCUAGCCUGACAGGUUCACUUGCAUCAGUAUCGAUUCCAAUCAUCUGUCCCUCUUCGUGAGGGGAUUCGUCGUUGCAUUGAGCAAUCAAUGCUCUGAUUAGAAACAGCUUACCAGUCCCUCAAGCCUCCAAUAGGGUGAGGUAGUGUCAAUUGAGCUUGUGUAAGGUUAAGGAGAUGUUCCUAGUAACCAAUACUUGAGCUACUUAAUGACCAAUUUGGCUAGAGACAAGUCGUAUCUUACCUCUCUAGUCCAGUUGGUCCUCUUAAGCAGUCUUCAAGCACUGUCUUACUAUACAUCUCACAUACUUAACUCUUGCAUUAAGCAAGCUCAUAUUGCUCCACUACCAACUAACCCCUACUGUGCUAAGGUGCCUGGCUUAAGCCAAUAGAGCAACUGUCAAGAACAGUACUUGUUAGUUACCUUGCUGCUUUACUUGUAAACAGCAAGCUCUAACUACCAAGUGCUGGUUUCUUCAGUACCCUUCUCUUGGAAAUUAACUUCGAUCUGAUGUCAAGUGAGACUACCCGCUGAAUUUAAGCAUAUAAUUAAGCGGAGGAAAAGAAACUAACUAGGAUUCCCUUAGUACCGGCGAGGGAAGAGGGAACAGCCCAGGCCGAAUCUGUAGUGGUUCGCCACUACCGAAAUGUAGCCUUCUGAUCAGCAUCACAGGGGUGAGCAGUAGGUAUAAAUCCCUUGGAACAGGGUACCAUAGAGGGUGAUAGUCCCGUUCUACCUACUUGUGUUACUUCAAUAUGUGUUGCUGCUUCCUAGAGUCGUGUUGUUUGAGAGUACAGCACAAAAUGGGUGGUAAGUACCAUCUAAGGCUAAAUACUGAUCUGAGACCGAUAGCGAACAAGUACCGUGAGGGAAAGAUGCAAAGAACUCUGAAAAGAGAGUUAAAAGGACUUGAAAUCUCUAUCAGGGAAGCGAUAGUCAGCUGCAGUUGACUGUUGUCCAUUCACCUUGGCACUUGUGCUGGUUAGUGGCACUGCUGAGCAGGAGUAUUCUUGCCACAGUGUUGCUAGCUUCAGUACAAGUUGCCGAGGGCAUUUGGGCAGCAGCCACUCAGCAUCAGUUAGGUUAGCUACUAAAGAACCCGAGAAAGGUAGCCUGGUUUCGACUAGGUGUUAUAGUCUCGGGAGUUCGGCAGCUAACUUGACUGAGGAUCUCCAGCAGUGGCCUUUGGCUGGGAACAGUGGCUCUGGUCAUUGUAGACGGUUACUACUGCUUGCAGUAGUGGUUGAUCUAUGGUGGCCAUCUGCUACCAUCCACAGCACUGCUAGUGAUGCUGAGAUACGGAUGAUUAUCGACCCGUCUUGAAACACGGACCAAGGAGUCUUACGCGUUUGCGAGUCUUAGAGUGAGGAAAACUCUUAGGGCGCAAUGAAAGUGAGAGGUGGGAAGGGUAGUGCAGCUUGACUAUCCCGCACCAUCCGCCGAUCCAAGGACAUGCUCUAAGGAUUUGAGUAAAGAGCAUACUCGUAAGGACCCGAAAGAUGGCGAACUAUGCGUGCAUAGGGUGAAGCCAGAAGAAAUUCUGGUGGAGGCUCGUAGCGAUACUGACGUGCAAAUCGUUCGUCAAAUGUGCGUAUAGCGGCGAAAGACUAAUCGAGCCGUCUAGUAGCUGGUUCCCUC